Long non-coding RNA from Erinaceus europaeus (western European hedgehog), 665 nucleotides. RefSeq lists it as uncharacterized. Lineage: Eukaryota; Metazoa; Chordata; Mammalia; Eulipotyphla; Erinaceidae. The record is from RefSeq and is a predicted model, not a curated record. The transcript is spliced from 2 exons.
CCGGGCGGAAGUGAUGUCAAGGGAGGGCGCCGAGCGGCCGGAAGUACGCGCCGUCUCUAUAGCAACACGGGGGCUGCUGGCCAGGAAGUCUUUCCGGGAGUUGCUAUUUGGUUGAUAAAGUGCCGGGGUCCCAGGACGGUUGUCGGGUCCACGGUGUCGCAGACUAUAGCUGGUGGUCCCGUUCAUCCCCGGGCAGUAAAAAUCCGGCUUCAGACCCCUCAGAAAACUCUAGGAUGAUUUUUGGAGAAAGAAAAAAAAAUCUCAACGAUUUGAGUCUUGCCUGUAGGUGAAGAAAUAAAGAUCCACAGUAGAAAAACAAGUUUUUAGGAUGCCUGGAAAUAACACCAUGCCUGUCCUGGAAAGAAAUAACUAUUUCCAAACGGGCUUCACAUUUUCCUCAGCAAUGCAAAUUCCCGAGGACCUGUGUGUGGCGACCCACACACUGAAAAGCAUUGUAAGAGACACCAGACACGGGAAACUUCCAUCUCCCUUUGACUGCUUUACUUUCGAUUGCAAAGGAUCACCGAAUGGCAAGCAAUGGUUGCCUAAACUGAAGUAUAAACUGGUGAUCUAGAGCUUCCCAUGAUGCAUUUGGCCAACACAUAUACUUUGGUUAGACAGCACUAGUUGCCCCUUAGGGGGAAAAAUAUAUAUGUACUUGCUUA